RNAcentral lists this transfer RNA (65 nucleotides) under Actornithophilus hoplopteri. Its description in RNAcentral is "tRNA-Ser". The record is from RNAcentral. Lineage: Eukaryota; Metazoa; Arthropoda; Insecta; Psocodea; Menoponidae.
GGACAAUUAGUUUAAUUAAAAACUUUUGCUUUGAAAGCAGGGAAUCUAUUCCUUUAGAUUGUCUU